GAUGAACGCUGGCGGCGUGCUUAACACAUGCAAGUCGAACGGAAAGGCUCCUGCUUGCAGGGGUACUCGAGUGGCGAACGGGUGAGUAACACGUGGGUGAUCUGCCCUGCACUUCGGGAUAAGCCUGGGAAACUGGGUCUAAUACCGGAUAGGACCACACUUUGGAUGGUGUGGUGGAAAGUUUUUCGGUGUGGGAUGAGCUCGCGGCCUAUCAGCUUGUUGGUGGGGUAAUGGCCUACCAAGGCGUCGACGGGUAGCCGGCCUGGGAGGGUGUACGGCCACAUUGGGACUGAGAUACGGCCCAGACUCCUACGGGAGGCAGCAGUGGGGAAUAUUGCACAAUGGGCGCAAGCCUGAUGCAGCGACGCCGCGUGGGGGAUGACGGCCUUCGGGUUGUAAACUCCUUUCGCUAGGGACGAAGCGCAAGUGACGGUACCUGGAGAAGAAGCACCGGCUAACUACGUG
This 465-nucleotide ribosomal RNA is filed under the name uncultured bacterium. RNAcentral describes it as "partial 16S ribosomal RNA". It matches the Rfam family "Bacterial small subunit ribosomal RNA", at positions 28 to 507 of the family's 1533-position model. The record is from RNAcentral.